RNAcentral lists this small nucleolar RNA (216 nucleotides) under Oryza sativa Indica Group (long-grained rice). Its description in RNAcentral is "Small nucleolar RNA U3". The record is from RNAcentral. Lineage: Eukaryota; Viridiplantae; Streptophyta; Magnoliopsida; Poales; Poaceae.
GCGACCUUACUUGAACAGGAUCUGUUCUAUAGGCUCGUACCGUUGCAUCCUUUACCAGUACAUGUUUUAAAUGCCAGAUGCUGCAAGGUUCAAGCUGGUAACUGGUAUAUGUAACUUUCAUCCUUAACAAGGUACUGUAUUUUUUUAUGUAAAUCUUGGUAUCUCCACAUACUAUAUAUUUUAAAAUUUUAACAUAUACAUAUAGUUUCUCAAGAA